CAGCAGCCGCGGUAAUACGAAGGGGGCUAGCGUUGCUCGGAAUUACUGGGCGUAAAGGGAGCGUAGGCGGAUGUUUAAGUCAGAGGUGAAAGCCCAGGGCUCAACCUUGGAACUGCCUUUGAUACUAGACAUCUUGAGUGUGGGAGAGGUAAGCGGAACUCCGAGUGUAGAGGUGAAAUUCGUAGAUAUUCGGAAGAACACCAGUGGCGAAGGCGGCUUACUGGCCCAUUACUGACGCUGAGGCUCGAAAGCGUGGGGAGCAAACAGGAUUAGAUACCCGAGUAGUCCCUGUCUCUUAUAC
RNAcentral lists this ribosomal RNA (301 nucleotides) under uncultured bacterium. RNAcentral's name for it is "partial 16S ribosomal RNA". It matches the Rfam family "Bacterial small subunit ribosomal RNA", at positions 509 to 807 of the family's 1533-position model. The record is from RNAcentral.